RNAcentral lists this long non-coding RNA (1112 nucleotides) under Numida meleagris (helmeted guineafowl). RNAcentral describes it as "lncRNA (ENSNMEG00000007782.1)". Lineage: Eukaryota; Metazoa; Chordata; Aves; Galliformes; Numididae. The record is from RNAcentral.
UGCCUUUACCCUUGUCCUUGUGUCUCAGCCUUCUUUACCUGUGGUCUUCUUGCAAGGACCUACUCCCCUCCUGUGUCUCCCUGCUGAGAAUUUCUUCUGCCAGACUGCCCCAAGUCCUCUGUGCAAGCUUCUGCCAGGCUAGCUUGCUAGUCUUCCCAGCCAUUGUGGAACUGUCAGGCUGGCACUGAAGGGGAACCCGUAAGGUGCCUCGGGAGAUCUGGGCUGUGAGAACGCUGGGGCUCUUAGUGAACCCAGGUGGGCAUGGACAGCAUACACUGCAGGAGGGUCCCAUGUUGUGUUUGCUAGCCCAUCCUGGCACUGCUUCUGAGCUACCUGCACAAGUCGGAGACUUGGCUGGUCCCAGUGGAAGGAGGUGGGACUGGAUGAGAGGGAGCGAUCGCUUCCUCUUCUAGGAAGGGCUCAUGCAGGUGAGCCCUUCUUUGGCCUGGACAGGUGCCUUUCAGCCACAGCAGCCCCUCCUUGUCUUUGACAAGUUGCUUCACAAAAGAAGCCUGAGAGCUUCUGCAAGUUGUGCACCCAGCUCACUGUCAUUGAAGUAUGCCUGUGCUUUGUAGCAGAGCUGAUGGGCCAAUCCACCUCUUGAGCUCCGCAUGCUCGGGCAGGAAUUUGAGCCAGGACACUCUUUUGCACAUGAACACUAUUUCUCCUUCUCUUCUUUUUAGCCUGACAAUCAUCCAGGAAACUGCUGGCCCUUCCCAGGAAGUCAAGGACAGGUCUUCAUCAAGUUGCCUGUGCCCAUCUUUCCCACAGCAGUUACGAUAAACCAUGGAAUUCCAGCAACAACAUACCACGCAGACAGCAUCUCCAGUGCUCCAAAGGACUUUGCUGUCUAUGGCCUGAAGGAAGAAGAUGAUGAGAAUGGAAUGUUCCUGGGAGAGUUAACUUUCAUGUCAGGCCAGAAUCCCAGCCAGACCUUUCAGCUGAAGAAUGAACACUCUGGGUUCAUCAGUUAUGCAAGGCUGCAAGUGCUGAGCCACCUGGAGUACACCUGUGUGUAUCAGUUCAGGCUCCACGGCAAUCCAGCCCGUGACAGUGACGCUGGGGAAAAGCUAUCUGAUCUACCUCAGAAUAAAUUACUUCUCCCAUGUUGA